Molecule: ribosomal RNA, 863 nt
Filed under: Lylea dalbergiae
Lineage: Eukaryota; Fungi; Ascomycota
Description: partial large subunit ribosomal RNA
Rfam family: Eukaryotic large subunit ribosomal RNA
Source: RNAcentral
GAAACCAACAGGGAUUGCCCCAGUAACGGCGAGUGAAGCGGCAACAGCUCAAAUUUGAAAUCUGGCCCCAGGCCCGAGUUGUAAUUUGGAGAGGAUGCUUUUGGCGCAGCGCCCCCCGAGUUCCCUGGAACGGGACGCCGUAGAGGGUGAGAGCCCCGUACGGGAGGACGCUAAGCCUCUGUAAAGCUCCCUCGACGAGUCGAGUAGUUUGGGAAUGCUGCUCUAAGCGGGAGGUAAAUUUCUUCUAAAGCUAAAUACUGGCCCAAGACCGAUAGCGCACAAGUAGAGUGAUCGAAAGAUGAAAAGCACUUUGAAAAGAGGGUUAAACAGCACGUGAAAUUGUUGAAAGGGAAGCGCUUGUGACCAGACAUGCGCCCGUCGGAUCAUCCAGCGCUCUGCGCUGGUGCACUCCGGCGGGCUCAGGCCAGCACCGGCCUUCCCAGGCGGACAAAAACAGCGGGAACGUAGCUCCCUCGGGAGUGUUAUAGCCCGCUGUAGAAUACGCCUGGGGGGGCCGAGGCACGCGCUCUGCAAGGGUGCUGGCGUAAUGGUCACCAGCGGCCCGUCUUGAAACACGGACCAAGGAGUCAAGCAUUAGGGCGAGUGUUUGGGUGUUAAACCCGCACGCGUAAUGAAAGUAAACGCUGGUGAGAGCUUCGGCGCAUCAUCGACCGAUCCUGAAGUACUCGGAUGGAUUUGAGUAGGAGCCUUACCGCUUGGACCCGAAAGUUGAUGAACUAUGCCUGUAUAGGGUGAAGCCAGAGGAAACUCUGGUGGAGGCUCGCAGCGGUUCUGACGUGCAAAUCGAUCGUCAAAUAUGGGCAUGGGGGCGAAAGACUAAUCGAAUCAACUAGUAGCUGGUU